RNAcentral lists this long non-coding RNA (1281 nucleotides) under Gossypium barbadense (sea-island cotton). Its description in RNAcentral is "long non-coding RNA (GBAR_LNC003385)". The record is from RNAcentral. Lineage: Eukaryota; Viridiplantae; Streptophyta; Magnoliopsida; Malvales; Malvaceae.
AAAAAUAUCGAGGGCACAGAAACCAUGCACUUUGCAGUCCAAAUUUUGCAGCUUACCAAAAACAUUAAUCGAUUUACCUCACGAGCAUUCGCACACUCGCAAAUCUACAAAAUACCGGUUUUUGGCAUUUCGGCUUUUCGACUUUUGCCGAUCCAGAUUAAGAAAGAGAGUGUUAGUUACACACGAGUUUGCGACGAUAUGCUGACGAGAUCCACACACGAACCGCCUACAAUUGGAUUACUAACACGUUAAUCUAACUAUUCAAAUACAAACUACGUAUUAACCCCUUACAAUAUUUAGCCAACCACACCUACAGAUUAUAGUAAGCUUAUAAGAAAUCAAUAAGUAACUCAUUAACAAAUUUUUGUCAAUGUUUACCACAUAAUCAUAAUUUCACUGCAAGCCGUCUUCCUGAGCAACAGUCACUAAAUCAUUUAUAACUGGAGCUACGAAACUUCAAAUCAAGUGCCGUUAAUUCUCCCUAAAAAUAGACUCAUAUAUCUUAUAUCCAUAAAAUUUUCAGAAUUUUUGGUUUGGCCAAUCAAUACCAGAUUUUUCUCAAAGUUUCGCAUGUUCCACUGUUUGACUAAUCUGACCACUCUUCAUUACGAAUCAAAUUUCUCAUUGUACAGAAUUCAAAAUAUGUUCUCGUUUAUUUCAUUUGAAACUAGACUCAUCAAGCUUUAAUUACAUAAUUUAUUCAGCUUCUAAUUAAUCUCCCACAAUUUAUGGUGAUUUUCCAAAGUCACGUUACUGCUGCUGUCCCAAGCAGAUUUAUUACCAAAAUUCACUCUUUCACACAUAACUUGCAUGCAUGUUAUUUAAACAUGUAUAUCACCAAUCAAUCAUCACAUAUAUAUGAUUUUACUUAAGUAUAAUCUCCAUUUCAUCAUUUUAAAGCACAACAUGUUAGCCGAUUUUUCCCCUUAGCAUCUAAGGCACAUGCAUGCUCAUUUGUUUGGCUCAACUUCACCUAUCUUCCAUUUUUCAUACAAAGAACAUGAAACAACAACCAUUUCCUUCAUUUUAAUUCAUGACUAAAUGCUCACAACACAACUAAAAACCAAAAUAUGCUUCAAGAGUUAAGGUAGAAUCAAGAAGAACUCAUGAACCUCAAAAUAAAAGCAAACUACCAUGAACUUACCUUCAAUUUUUCUUCCCCAAGUGACCGAACAUUCAAGAGCUUUUUCCUCUCCUUUUUCUUCUCUAACUUUAGGCUAUGAUGAACAAAGAUGGACAAAAAUUUGUUCUUUUCACCCCCUUUUUUUUUAAUAAAAUUUC